This is a long non-coding RNA of Gambusia affinis (western mosquitofish), 315 nucleotides long. RefSeq lists it as uncharacterized. The record is from RefSeq and is a predicted model, not a curated record. Lineage: Eukaryota; Metazoa; Chordata; Actinopteri; Cyprinodontiformes; Poeciliidae. The transcript is spliced from 3 exons.
AGCAAUUUACAUUUUGAGCCGUUAAUGAUCCGUGACGAUGAGACGCAGACUUCAUCUUCAAAAUCAUGUCUGGAGACAGGAAAACACGCAGAAGAACCUCGAGAUCGGUAGGAAACAUGCGAGCCUCCGCUGGAGCUUUUCCGCCUCUGGUACGUCUGCGGCUGCGGGUAAUGAACCUGGACCUGUUCUGAAUCAACGGAAGUGCCAAAGGUCAUGGACCUCAAGAUUCGCUCUGACUCUGACGAGCCGCCUCUUUUUUCUCCUUGGGGUCGUCUUCGUCCCACAAACCGUGACACUGAGGAGGAGGAGGAGGAG